AUGGUCCUUCCAAAAACAUAUCAAAUGAAUCAAGGUUUCCUAAUCUAGACAUUGUUCAAAGAAGUGUUCCAGACUCUUCUCAAGCUCGCUAUCAUACGAGAAGCUGAAGCUCCGCUUGGAAUUUCCAGCUCCAUCCAUGGUUGUGGGCGCCAUCUUUCCAUGGUGGGCUGAGUUCAUCCUUGAUGAGUUGAAGAUCCAUCUUCAUCUUCGUGUUCUUCAAUGUUGACGUUUGGUUCGGGCUGUUGUGUUAGGAGGCUCCAUCUUCUUUUUGGUGUAACUUGCUGGUAGCUAGGACCACUAGCUAAGUUACAUAUUUUCGUUGUCCUCUCUUUGGCAAUAAUGCUUGUGCUAUUAAAUUUGAGCUUGUGUAAUAUGAGACUUGUUUUAUGUUUAUCACUGUUGCGUGCCUGCUCUUCCCUCUUCCCAUGUUAUUUGUGAUCUGUAUCAUUGUAUAUUUAUUUUCCUCGUCCUAAUUCUGAGGUUAGGAA
Solanum tuberosum (potato) is the source of this 488-nucleotide long non-coding RNA. RefSeq lists it as uncharacterized. The record is from RefSeq and is a predicted model, not a curated record. Lineage: Eukaryota; Viridiplantae; Streptophyta; Magnoliopsida; Solanales; Solanaceae. The transcript has 3 exons.